This 433-nucleotide long non-coding RNA is filed under the name Salmo salar (Atlantic salmon). Its description in RNAcentral is "lncRNA (ENSSSAG00000117141.1)". Lineage: Eukaryota; Metazoa; Chordata; Actinopteri; Salmoniformes; Salmonidae. The record is from RNAcentral.
CCACAACAUAGCUGGGUCCCCACAACAUAGCUGGGAAGCUAGGUCCCCACAACAUAGCUAGGUCCCCACAACAUAGCUGGGUCCCCACAGCAUAGCUGGGAAGCUAGGUCCCCACAACAUAGCUGGGUAGCUGGGUCCCCACAACAUAGCUGGGUAGCUGGGUCCCCACAACAUAGCUGGGUAGCUAGGUCCCCACUACAUAGCUGGGUAGCUGGGUCCCCAUUACAUAGCUGGGUAGCUGUGUCAUAAUUACAUAGCUGGGUAGCUAGGUCCGGACUACAUAGCUGGGAAGCUAGGUCCCCACAACAUAGCUGGGUCCCCAUUACAUAGGUGGGUAGCUGUGUCAUAAUUACAUAGCUGGGUAGCUAGGUCCCCACUACAUAGCUGGGAAGCUAGGUCCCCACAACAUAGCUGGGUCCCCAUUACAUAGCUG